GCAGACAGCUCAUAGGGCAACCGGCGAUUGCCACCAACCUUGAGGACUUGGGUUCGAUUCCCUGGGAACCACGUGGAGCUGGGAGUGCGGACAUACAUGUCAACUACCUGGAAAUUAUCAAUGACUGCACGUGCCCAGCUCUUCUGGACCCUCUGAUGUUCUGUCACAUGGGAGCAAAUGGAGAGCUGGGACAUCCUUUGACCUCAGCCCUCAAAGGUUAGGAAGCGGGCCCCUCCUCCCUCCAAGAAUUCCUUUUCUCCAAGGGUGAUUAACUACCUCAGCCAUCCUUCCAGGAGGGCCAAAAAAGCUGUUUUGAAUCUGUACCGGCUCAGAAUAAUCAGUUCCUGGUAUUUCCGGCUUUGUGUGAAGCAGGAUUUCCUGUUUCAAGGCGGGCUGGCUCCCCUGUCCUGAUAUUAGGGAGUCUAUGUAAUAGAUUACUAAUCCAUACUGUUUUUGUUUUUCUAUUCAGGAUAAUUAACUUCUUGCUCAAUCCCUCAGCAUUUGACCAAAAUACCAAGAUAAAAAUGUAGGCCCGUGUUAGUACAAAAGGUCCUGCAUUCAACUGUCCUCCUUAUAUUGCCCAAGAAGUCUUGUGGAAUUCCAAGAAGAAUUCAAGGGGCCAGACCUGGAAUAUGCAUCAAUGAGAAUAAGACACUGACGAAGCUAACGACACUAACGGGGAAUGAGGAUAAUCGACUCCUGUCCUUUGUUUUACUCUUUAACCUAGUAAUAAAUCCCUUUAAAGGCCCGUGGUAUUCGGAGCAUCCCGUGUGUGAAGUGCUCUCGCAGUUGUGGCCGGAAUGUGAGACCUAUAGGCUAAAGAUGUCAGGCUGAAUCUCAGGCAAGGGGUGUGCUGAAAGGAUCGGAGGAAGGGCGAGGGGAGCCCAGCCGAGAUAAUGAGGGCCAGCAAGAUGGAUUAGUGAAUAAAGGUGUUUGGGUUUUU
Molecule: long non-coding RNA, 943 nt
Filed under: Mus musculus (house mouse)
Lineage: Eukaryota; Metazoa; Chordata; Mammalia; Rodentia; Muridae
Description: predicted gene, 36199
Source: RNAcentral